CCUACGGGUGGCAGCAGUGAGGAAUAUUGGUCAAUGGGCGGGAGACUGAACCAGCCAAGCCGCGUGAGGGAUGAAGGUACAGAGUAUCGUAAACCUCUUUUGUCAGGGAACAAAGUCGGGGACGUGUCCCCGGAUGAGUGUACCUGAAGAAAAAGCAUCGGCUAACUCCGUGCCAGCAGCCGCGGUAAUACGGAGGAUGCGAGCGUUAUCCGGAUUUAUUGGGUUUAAAGGGUGCGUAGGGGGGUUGUUAAGUCAGCGGUCAAAGGCCCGGGCUCAACCCCGGCCCCGCGGUUGAUACUGGCAGUCUCGAGUUGGAGAGAAGUAUGCGGAAUGCGCGGUGUAGCGGUGAAAUGCAUAGAUAUCGCGCAGAACUCCGAUUGCGAAGGCAGCUCACUGGACUGCAACUGACACUGAGGCUCGAAAGUGUGGGUAUCAAACAGGAUUAGAUACCCGUGUAGUC
RNAcentral lists this ribosomal RNA (460 nucleotides) under uncultured bacterium. RNAcentral describes it as "partial 16S ribosomal RNA". It matches the Rfam family "Bacterial small subunit ribosomal RNA", at positions 338 to 795 of the family's 1533-position model. The record is from RNAcentral.